RNAcentral lists this ribosomal RNA (408 nucleotides) under uncultured bacterium. RNAcentral's name for it is "partial 16S ribosomal RNA". It matches the Rfam family "Bacterial small subunit ribosomal RNA", at positions 28 to 526 of the family's 1533-position model. The record is from RNAcentral.
GACGAACGCUGGCGGCGUGCUUAACACAUGCAAGUCGAACGAAGUGGCGAACGGGUGAGUAACGCGUAAUCAACCUGCCCAUCAGAGGGGGACAAUAGUUGGAAACGACUCCUAAUACCGCAAACGGAAGAAGGGGUUGGUGUGGGAUUAGCUAGUUGGAGGGGUAACGGCCAACAAAGGCGAUGAUCAGUAGCCGGGUUGGGAGGAUGGACGGCCACAUUGGGACGGAGACACGGCCCAGACUCCUACGGGGGGCAGCAGUGGGGAAUCGUCCGAAAUGGACGAAAGUCUGACGGAGCAACGGCGCGUGAGUGAUGACGGCCUUCGGGUUGUAAAGCUCUGUUAAUCGGGACGCGGUACCGGAAUAGAAAGCAACGGCUAACUACGUGCCAGCAGCCGCGGUAAUAC